This 339-nucleotide ribosomal RNA is filed under the name Triticum aestivum (bread wheat). RNAcentral's name for it is "partial small subunit ribosomal RNA". Lineage: Eukaryota; Viridiplantae; Streptophyta; Magnoliopsida; Poales; Poaceae. The record is from RNAcentral.
AUGUAUCUAAUACUAAAAUGUGACUUGAUACAUCCGUAUCUAGACAAAUCUAAGACAAGAAUUCUGAGACGGAGGGAGUACAAGUCAAACAAAAGGAAGGUUUCAGCGGGUUUUCUCCACAUACAAAAGGAGUUGCAGUUAAAAGCUCAUCCAUAUUCUGUAUACUCCUUGGUACUCCUAGUGAAGCUAUCAAAGUCGCAUCAAAUAUCGUCGGUAGCAGCCAAGUUGCGUGCACAUGUUGGUUGGUGCUGUGCUGGGUCGCUGUGGUUGGUGCGCAGGUGGAUGGAUGGGGUCGAUCGACAUCUUCCGGUACGCGUCGACCUCCUAGUGCGUGUCUAG